Molecule: ribosomal RNA, 253 nt
Filed under: uncultured Blastopirellula sp.
Lineage: Bacteria; Pseudomonadati; Planctomycetota; Planctomycetia; Pirellulales; Pirellulaceae
Description: partial 16S ribosomal RNA
Rfam family: Bacterial small subunit ribosomal RNA
Source: RNAcentral
GACGAACCGGACGAACGUUAUUCGGAAUUACUGGGCUUAAAGAGUGCGUAGGCGGGCUGGUAGGUUGGGUGUGAAAUCCCUCGGCUUAACCGAGGAAUUGCGCUCAAAACCGCUGGUCUUGAGGAAGGUAGGGGUGAGCGGAACUGAUGGUGGAGCGGUGAAAUGCGUUGAUAUCAUCAGGAACACCGGUGGCGAAGGCGGCUCACUGGGUCUUUCCUGACGCUGAGGUACGAAAGCUAGGGGAGCAAACGGG